CCUAACAGUUGAAUUGGGAAGCAUUGGUCCAGACAGAUCUCCAACGUCAUAAGAGUUCCCAAGAAAGUGGAUUUGUGGCCUUCAGAAUGAAGUUUGCAAGUAGUUGCAGAAGCGAUAAGGAUCCCUGAGCAAAAUUCUAAGAAAAAGUUCAUGAAAUUCAUCUGGGACUUUUUAUUUAGUCUCAAAUAGAAGUACACAAAAGGUCAUGUUCCAGUGCAGAGCUUACAUCAUGCCUUUACCUUCACAUAUUUCCAAUGUGGAAAAGAAAAGCAUCCAGUCAUUCUCAGAAGAUUACAGGUAUAGUGGAUGUGUUCUUUUACAAGUAUUACAUAAAUAGGGGGAAAAACAGCUACAUGCAUCUUUCAGGAAUGUUCCAUUUUUAAUUGCUUUUCCAUUUUUUUCUAGAUGUGGGUAACUCUCAACGGGAAAUGAAUUGUGGUGACAUUUGUCGCAAUGUUAACUUAAUUAUUCUUCCUGAUCAGGCUUAACAAAAUGAAGACAUGUCCUAUACGGUUUUAUUUUGCUUUGCCAAGAACUGGGUCCUAAUUAUCUGUGCUUGUAAGUAUGAGUCUUUGUUUAUCAGGUUGAGCAACAGCCUUUGAUAGGAGACUGACACUCCCUUCUAUUCUGUCCUGUCCAUCUUGCUGCGCUAGACAAAGUUACUUCCACAUUCUUUGAAAUUCCUGAUUCCCACUGCAUUCAGGGACAUCUGCUGGGAAGCAAAGUUGAAAACGUCAGGAUCUCUUUCAAGUAACUUUAGUGAUGACUUCAGCAGGUGAUCCUUUUUCUUCUAUGGUGAUAAUUUUAUAUCAUUUUCUUGCUUCCAAGAAAGGCUUAGCAAAUUUCCAUCUUGAAAAUUUGUUUCCACCUUGUCCAUACUGAAGACUCACUGACAGAGCUGCAUUUUAACAACAAUAUGCUUUCUUUCUGUAUAUGAAUUAUAUCAUAAAAGCUGCCUUACAGCCAUGUUGAAUGGUGAAUAACUGAGUAAGAGGAAAAAUGUCAACAUUAUAUCAAGAAUACGUAUUGUUUAGAAUGAAGAAAGAAAAGACAAUGCAAUGGCUUCUAGUGGCCCUGAGCCUCUAGGCUACAUAAAUAUUUCUCAUUUAACAGAGGAGAGGAAGCUGUGCUAUGGCUUUGGGUUCGGGCUGCUCGUUUGAGACAAUGUCUGUCCAUCAGCUUUAAGGUAGAAGAGUGAAAGGAAAGAACUGAACUUGCCUCAGUAAAGCUCUGUCUGUGACUAGUUCCAUAUGGGACACCUGCCUCCACUGCAUAUAAGGUGGCCCUGAUUGUAGUCACAGUGAUAAUGUGAGUGGUAAGGACAAGCAGAAUGGUAACAAUGGCAGCCACCAUCGUAACAGGCAGCGGGCCAUAGUGGUUAAGAGUACAGAUUCUAUGGCCAACCUGACUAGGUUUUUAUUGCUGGCUCUGACACUUUCUAGGUAUGUAGCACCAGUCGAAUUACUUACUGCUUUUGUACUUCAGUUGAUUCCUCUGUAAAAUAGGAAAAUAAUAGCAGCUACCUUAUUAGUACCUUGAAUGUUUGGUCCUCAUUCUAUCCAGGGUGACAGUUUGGAGUGGUACCUGGUCCAUACUUCAAGAAGUGUUGUAGGAAUGUUAAAUAAAAUACAUAAGUGUUCCUAGAAUAUGCUGUAUAUUUCCAUUUUUCAGAUGAGAAAACUGAGACUGUGAGGUUAAGGCAUCUUUCUAAGGCAACUGGCCAGCAACAUGCUAGAAACAUUAAAGGAUGUUCAGAAAUAUUUGAGAAUGCAAAAAUUCCAGAGUGUA
Chinchilla lanigera (long-tailed chinchilla) is the source of this 1788-nucleotide long non-coding RNA. RefSeq lists it as uncharacterized. NCBI's taxonomy places the organism in Eukaryota, Metazoa, Chordata, Mammalia, Rodentia, Chinchillidae. The transcript has 3 exons. The record is from RefSeq and is a predicted model, not a curated record.